GCUAGUUGUGGCUCGGUGGUCAAGGCUUUGCAUUACAGAUGAGAAGGUCAUGUGAUCAAAUCUCAACACUGCCA
Pangasius djambal is the source of this 74-nucleotide non-coding RNA. The record is from the annotation of a GenBank genome assembly. NCBI's taxonomy places the organism in Eukaryota, Metazoa, Chordata, Actinopteri, Siluriformes, Pangasiidae.